CAGAUUUGAUGGACGGCCGCUCUGCUUCGGCAGGGAGGAAAGUCCGGACACCACAGGGCAGGAAGUCCGGUUGAAAAGCCGGAUGCUGCGGACCAGAUUCCGCAGUAAGGAAAGCGCAACAGAAAAUAUACCGCCUUUCGGGGUAAGGGUGAAAUGGUGGGGUAAGGGCCCACCGCGCUGUCAGGAAACUGCGGCGGCAGUGCAAGCCCCUUCCGGUGCAAGACCAAAUAGGGAACGACGGCGCUGCCCGUGCCGCGCCCCCUGCAAAGGGGAAUAAGUUCCGGGUAUCGGUCGCUUAGAUGAAUGGUCGUCAGUCCACCUCCGGGUGGAACACAGAAUCCGGCUUAUAAUCAAAUCUGCUCU
RNAcentral lists this RNase P RNA (363 nucleotides) under Lentisphaerota bacterium. RNAcentral describes it as "Lentisphaerae bacterium (anaerobic digester metagenome) RNase P RNA component class A". It matches the Rfam family "Bacterial RNase P class A". Rfam says of the family: Ribonuclease P (RNase P) is a ubiquitous endoribonuclease, found in archaea, bacteria and eukarya as well as chloroplasts and mitochondria. Its best characterised activity is the generation of mature 5'-ends of tRNAs by cleaving the 5'-leader elements of precursor-tRNAs. The record is from RNAcentral. Lineage: Bacteria; Pseudomonadati; Lentisphaerota.